This 253-nucleotide ribosomal RNA is filed under the name uncultured bacterium. RNAcentral's name for it is "partial 16S ribosomal RNA". It matches the Rfam family "Bacterial small subunit ribosomal RNA", at positions 524 to 776 of the family's 1533-position model. The record is from RNAcentral.
UACAGAGGGUGCGAGCGUUAAUCGGAAUUACUGGGCGUAAAGCGCACGUAGGUGGCGACGUAAGUCGGGUGUGAAAGCCCCGGGCUCAACCUGGGAAUUGCAUUCGAGACUGCAUUGCUGGAGUACGGAAGAGGAAGGCGGAAUUCCCGGUGUAGCGGUGAAAUGCGUAGAUAUCGGGAGGAAUACCGAUGGCGAAGGCAGGUCUCUGGGCUGACACUGACGCUCAUGCACGAAAGCGUGGGGAGCAAACAGG